GACGUAGGAUGCAAGCGUUACUCGGAAUCACUGGGCGUAAAGCGUCUGUAGGCGGUCUGAUGCGUCUGAUGUGAAACCACAGGGCUCAACCCUGUCUCCGCAUUGGAAACGGUCAGACUCGAGAGACCUAGAGGUACCUGGAAUGCUGUGUGUAGGGGUAAAAUCCGUAGAUACACAGUAGAACGCUCAAAGCGAAAGCAGGGUACUGGGGGUUUUCUGACGCUGAGAGACGAAAGCGUGGGGAGCAAACCGGAUUAGAAACCCG
RNAcentral lists this ribosomal RNA (265 nucleotides) under uncultured bacterium. Its description in RNAcentral is "partial 16S ribosomal RNA". It matches the Rfam family "Bacterial small subunit ribosomal RNA", at positions 524 to 788 of the family's 1533-position model. The record is from RNAcentral.